UAUCUUUGCAGCUUGAUUGAAAAUCAGUCAUAUACAUAAAAAUCAUUUAAAAUAAUAUUGGAAUG
Molecule: non-coding RNA, 65 nt
Filed under: Zobellia uliginosa
Lineage: Bacteria; Pseudomonadati; Bacteroidota; Flavobacteriia; Flavobacteriales; Flavobacteriaceae
Also listed under: 1 other name
Description: S15-Flavobacteria ribosomal protein leader
Rfam family: S15-Flavobacteria ribosomal protein leader
Source: RNAcentral